Molecule: long non-coding RNA, 954 nt
Filed under: Homo sapiens (human)
Lineage: Eukaryota; Metazoa; Chordata; Mammalia; Primates; Hominidae
Description: HSALNT0341193
Source: RNAcentral
CUAUCAGGAUACUAUUUGCAGAUGAGGUUGGGGGUCUCAUACACAGAUCUAGUCCACGGUUGAGGUUGUGACUCAGGUACUUGGACAGAAUUCACAAGAGCUGCUAAUUCUUAUAUUUGGAGCCAGGCCAUAUGCAAUAUUGUUAAUCUCAUCCCUGGACCUUUCUGCAGGUGUGAUUUUGAUUCAUACCUUUGCCCAGCACCUAACUGAUUUUACAUUUCUGCAUGGGUUCAGACUAAAUGUGGGAUUGUGACAUAUACCUAGGCCAAGCACAUAGGUGAUGGGACUCUCCUGCCUGGGCCAGUCUCUCAGAGGUGACUUAGAAAUAUCUUAUGCAGCCAUCACCUAGCUAAUGUGACUCUCCUCUCCUGCCUGGGCUCAGCCCACAGGGGCAUUAUGACGUAUUACUGGGUUCAUCACCUAGGUGACAUGACUCUCCUCUUCUGCCUGGGCCCCACCCCCAUUUGGAAUUUGGACAUAUCCGUGGGCCUAUCACCUAGGUGAUAUGAAUCUCCUCUUUUGCCUUGGACCUUCUUACAUGGGGAAUUGAGACAAAUUACUGGGCCCAGCACCUAGCAGAUGUUACUGUCUGUUUUGCCUGGAUCUUGCCUACAGAAGGGAUUGUGACAAAUCAGUGGGCCAAGCAUCCAGGGUAAUUUGUGACAUACUGCUGGACCCAGCACCCAGAUCAUUUGACUCUCCUGCCUUGGUCCUGCCCACAGAGGGCAUUGUGACAUGUGAGUGGGCUCAGCAGCCAGAUGAUGUCACCUUCCUGCCAGGACUCUUCCAACAGAAGGGGCAUUGACCUACUCAGGCUCAGUAUUCAGGUGCUGUCUGAGGUUUGGCUGUCAUGCGUGGAUUCAAGUUGCUGUUGAAAUUGUGAUGUGCAGCUGGGCAUGGUGGCUCAUGCUUGUAAUCCCAGCACUUUGGGAGGCCAAGGCAGGUGGAUCACCU